UCCACCGGCGGGACGUGACCGGCUGGGGCGCCGAUAUGGCGGGCCGGUUUCCAUGCCCGAUAUAUUGCAAGAGAAUCAGGAGCUCCGUCGUGCCAACAAGACUCUAGCACAGCGGCAAGAACUCCACACCCGGAUGAUUUUGAUGCUUUUCGCGGAGUUGGGUAAAGAACCGCCCCGGGAGCUCCUACAUAAUAUUGGAACUCCGAGCAAUAUGAAUCGACAACAAGAGCCUGUUACAUUCAACACCCUGGUUUACGAACAGUGAUAAACCGUCCCUUGUUCAUGUCACAUAGCACCAUCAAGAUUGUCUAUGCCAAAUGCCACAUCAGUAUUCAGUUUGUGGUACCAUGUAUUGAACCAUUUGUAAUGAUCUUGAACAAUCUUCGACGAAACAAAUA
Molecule: long non-coding RNA, 398 nt
Organism: Triticum dicoccoides
Lineage: Eukaryota; Viridiplantae; Streptophyta; Magnoliopsida; Poales; Poaceae
Exons: 2
Source: RefSeq, a predicted model, not a curated record